UGUCAGCAGAGGGGAACGAAGUUAAGCAGGUGGGACACUAUACCCUUCUUUUCCCAGCAGGAGGACUCCUGCACACAGUUGGAAGGUAGCACGAUAUAGGGGAGAGGUUACUGAGCCAGGAGUCAGGAAACUGCUUUUUGGCCAGGCUUUGCUAUAUGACCUUGGGCCAGUCUCUUGACCUCUCUGAUCCUCAGCACCUCUGCUGGUUGGACAAAAGCCCCUCUGGCCUUGGAACUCUAGAGAGGGCCCCAUCUGGAAAGGCUGCCUUUGCCCCUGGAACCCGAAGAUGGCCUCAUCAUCUACUGAGAUCAUCCUAAACACACACUCAGCAACUGGCUUUUUUCACCGAGGGUCAGAUCAGAGCCUUUUCUCCAGAUGUUGGGAUCCCGGCAGCCUUCUCGAGCUGGAAGUGUCCUUGGAGAGCAUGAAGCCUGGCUCUCUCUCUUCUCACUGAUAAGGAAGCAGGCUCCGAUCAGAGGCAGGAAUCAGCUUGGUGAGGUCCCAGCCAGUUCAAGGCCGAGGUAGGCGCCCUCCGGCCUCACACCUGCCUUCCUUCCAGCUGUGUCUGCCCCAUUCUCUCCUCCCCUGUACACCGCAUUCCACAUAACUUCUCUCCCCAGCUUAUCAAACCUCCCCCGGAAGUCAACCACUGACCAGAACGAAUCACAGCUUCCUUACAGGCAUUCAAGCUCAGCCCUGUCCAGUCACACUUCAGACCCAAAUGCAAAUACCACCUCUUCCGUGGUGUCUUCCCUGACUGCCUCAGCUUCUCAACAGAGCACAGUAGUCUCUGCUCUGCAAGCAGCCCCUCUCUUCUGGCCACUCCUGCCAGAAGGAGCCACAUCACAGAAGGGCCUACCAGAAGGGGGCAGUGCACCACCAAAGAAAGGUCUCCCUAAAGGUCAAGGUCACCAGGGGACCAGAGGCCGGGCACAAACCCUUUGGUGUGCUCUCCCUCAUCUCCAGUGUGCAUGCCUGUAGGAAUACGGGGUUCCACCCCAGUGGUGUGGCCUUUGGCAGCGCCCCCACCCCGCCUCAGUUUGCAUUUCUCAAUAGAGAGGGUUGGACCAGCUCCGCGUUUCUGAAAGCGCCGUGAAGCACAAAGUGACUUCAGGAGAUAA
Mustela erminea (ermine) is the source of this 1121-nucleotide long non-coding RNA. RefSeq lists it as uncharacterized. The transcript has 3 exons. NCBI's taxonomy places the organism in Eukaryota, Metazoa, Chordata, Mammalia, Carnivora, Mustelidae. The record is from RefSeq and is a predicted model, not a curated record.